CAAAGUUUGCUAAAAAGUGCAUAUUUAUUCUUAAAUUAAAUUACUGGUACUAAAUGCUUUAUAAUAUAAAUAAUUGGAAAGUGUCAAUUGAAAAAUUGGUUUGUAAUUUUGUAAAAUUUCCAAAUAAAUUGUUAUUUUGAUAGUAAUUAGUAGGCUGCACUGGUCACUUUUUGCAAAUAAAAAAAAAAGGGGGGCUGGGCAUAUCCAGCGAGAAGGUUCAAAUUUCACGUAUCUAAUUUAAUCGUAGUAUUUUGGAAGCUACUGGCUAGUGCGGAAGGCGGGCAUAAUCAUGCUGGCUGAUGACAAUAUCGGACAAUAUCACUCAACAGACAGACCGAUGAAAUUGAAGGACUUUCUUCAAUCUAUUUCCCAAAUUUUGCAAUAGAGGAUGAAGACUGCCGUUCUUACAGCAUCAAAGUUGGUGUGGAAUAAUUCUUUAUUCCUCUCUUAAUUUGUUUGUUUAGACUGUGGCUGUGUCAUCGGAGAACUACAUUGUGUGUUUUUUUUUUACUUAUUAUCAUUCAAUUUAUUUACGGCUUACAAUUAAAUUCAUUUUAUUUUUUAAGGGCUUCCUUUUCUGGCCAUUGUUUUAAGUUGAAUUCUUACAAAUAAAUCUUGCAUUUAUUUUAAAUUUAAAGUAGCUUUAAAUUUACAAAUAAUUAAUACAAAUUCAAUUUGAAUUAGCUUGUAGAAUUCAUGGGAUUCCAAUUCACUUCAAGGGAAUUUUUAGAGGCAUUUUAGAAUUCAACUGUAUUCACAAAACUUUCUAGCAGAUGCAUCUAGAAAGUUCUCAAUGUAAAUCAAAUGGGUGGGUGGGUUUUGCGCGACCCUCCCAGGGCUGCUACCCGCGCUAUAAAAAGCGCUCCGUCCGCUGGCUCGAUGCAGAAGGCUGACAGACCUCAGAGAAAUCAGAGGACACCAGGACAUCCAGUGCAGUUUCGGACACCCGUCCGAACCCUUCGCACCCGUCCGAGCCGUCUCAAGGCCCCGACCGCUGACUUGUCCCGACGCUGUCUCGUCCGAGGACAGCCGGAAGGCCGACCGCGUCCCGAGCCCCUCGAGCGGCGCACCUAUGUGUCCAUCGUACUGUCCUGGGUGUGGCUGAGCCGUCCGAAGCCGUACGGAGCAGCUUUGCCAGCUCCUUCCUGUCCAUGAAUCGGGCGCCGACGUGGCACGCCGCCAGCGAGCGCUCGGACGAAGGCGUCCGAACGUCCGCCGCCAGAGACCCGCACGCCGUGGGCCCCGGCCGCGCCGAGAGCCGCCGCCGACCUGUAGGGAGCCGCCGGGUUCCCAGCAAGGACGUUUCCAGGGCAGCCUGCCGGCCUACCCAGGGAACACCGCUCCCAUUUGUUGAUUUUUAAGUGACAUUGAACGAACAAUUUCGAGUCAGUGAAAUUUGCUCAUUCUGCCAGAAUUGUUGUAUAAAAUAAAGCCCGUGUGUAAGCUGA
Molecule: RNA transcript, 1448 nt
Organism: Neocloeon triangulifer
Lineage: Eukaryota; Metazoa; Arthropoda; Insecta; Ephemeroptera; Baetidae
Gene name: protein IMPACT-A-like
Exons: 5
Source: RefSeq, a predicted model, not a curated record